AUGGAUAGGGGUUCUGAGAGGAAGGUCCCCCACAUUGGUACUGAGACACGGACCAAACUCCUACGGGAGGCAGCAGUGAGGAAUAUUGGUCAAUGGGCGUAAGCCUGAACCAGCCAAGUCGCGUGAGGGAUGAAGGUUCUAUGGAUCGUAAACCUCUUUUAUAAGGGAAUAAAGUGCGGGACGUGUCCCGUUUUGUAUGUACCUUAUGAAUAAGGAUCGGCUAACUCCGUGCCAGCAGCCGCGGUAAUACGGAGGAUCCGAGCGUUAUCCGGAUUUAUUGGGUUUAAAGGGUGCGUAGGCGGCCUUUUAAGUCAGCGGUGAAAGUCUGUGGCUCAACCAUAGAAUUGCCGUUGAAACUGGGGGGCUUGAGUAUGUUUGAGGCAGGCGGAAUGCGUGGUGUAGCGGUGAAAUGCUUAGAUAUCACGCAGAACCCCGAUCGCGAAGGCAGCCUGCCAAGCCAUGACUGACGCUGAUGCACGAAAGCGUGGGGAUCAAACAGGAUUAGAUACCCUGGUAGUCCACGCAGUAAACGAUGAUCACUAGCUGUUUGCGAUACACUGUAAGCGGCACAGCGAAAGCGUUAAGUGAUCCACCUCAACGGUGAAACUCAAAGGAAUUGACGGGGGCCCGCACAAGCGGAGGAACAUGUGGUUUAAUUCGAUGAUACGCGAGGAACCUUACCCGGGUUUGAACGCAUUCGGACCGAGGUGGAAACACCUUUUCUAGCAAUAGCCGUUUGCGAGGUGCUGCAUGGUUGUCGUCAGCUCGUGCCGUGAGGUGUCGGCUUAAGUGCCAUAACGAGCGCAACCCUUGCCACUAGUUACUAACAGGUGAUGCUGAGGACUCUGGUGGGACUGCCAGCGUAAGCUGCGAGGAAGGCGGGGAUGACGUCAAAUCAGCACGGCCCUUACAUCCGGGGCGACACACGUGUUACAAUGGCGUGGACAAAGGGAAGCCACCUGGCGACAGGGAGCGAAUCCCCAAACCACGUCUCAGUUCGGAUCGGAGUCUGCAACCCGACUCCGUGAAGCUGGAUUCGCUAGUAAUCGCGCAUCAGCCAUGGCGCGGUGAAUACGUUCCCGGGCCUUGUACACACCGCCCGUCAAGCCAUGGGAG
RNAcentral lists this ribosomal RNA (1116 nucleotides) under human gut metagenome. Its description in RNAcentral is "bacterial SSU rRNA". It matches the Rfam family "Bacterial small subunit ribosomal RNA", at positions 279 to 1410 of the family's 1533-position model. The record is from RNAcentral.